CAGUCGCCGCGGGAACACGAAGGGUGCAAGCGUUACUCGGAAUUACUGGGCGUAAAGCGUGCGUAGGUGGUGGUUUAAGUCCGUUGUGAAAGCCCUGGGCUCAACCUGGGAAUUGCAGUGGAUACUGGGUCACUAGAGUGUGGUAGAGGAUAGUGGAAUUUCCGGUGUAGCAGUGAAAUGCGUAGAGAUCGGAAGGAACAUCUGUGGCGAAGGCGACUAUCUGGGCCAACACUGACACUGAGGCACGAAAGCGUGGGGAGCAAACAGGAUUAGAUACCCGUGUAGUCCCUGUCUCUUAUAC
RNAcentral lists this ribosomal RNA (301 nucleotides) under uncultured bacterium. RNAcentral's name for it is "partial 16S ribosomal RNA". It matches the Rfam family "Bacterial small subunit ribosomal RNA", at positions 509 to 807 of the family's 1533-position model. The record is from RNAcentral.